GUGGAGUACCUGCUGUUCAUCACUCCCACCAAUAUUUUUUGAGAAGUAUUUCAUUUAAAAAAGAUAAAAAUAGUGAAGUUUCCAAGUAGACUGUCCUCUCAAUUUUUUUUUUAUCCUAAUUUAAAACCUUAGUUGACGAGAACAUCAGUGGAAUACAGUAUUCCACUUGUUUGGAUUUUCUGAUUUUAAAGACCUUUUGGUACAUUUUGGGAGAAUUGGAUACUCUGAAGUUUGAGAUGAAUGACCACUCACUAGCUAGUUUAGAAAUUGUUUUUGUAAUAAGUCAUAUAGAAUGCUGUUUGAAUACUUUCAUUUACCUUUAUUCUAGAAAUGGGAUCUAGGAGAUAGUGAAAAGGAUUUGCUGAGGAUUUUGCUUAACUGAAUUCAUAUUUUCACUUUAGUCUUCCUAGAAGCAUACUCUUUAUUCUGGGUUCUAGGUUGGGAUUCACGUGAAUCAGUUGGUUCCAACUAAUCUGAACCCUUCCACAUGUCCCAGUCGCCCAUCAGUUCAGUCAAGCCACUUUCCUGGUGGGUCGUACUCUGUCCGUGAUGUCUUCCAAGUUCAGAAAGCUAAGAAAUCCACAGAAGAGGAGCACAAAGAAGUAUUUCGGGCCGCUGUGGAUCUGGAAAUAUCAUCUGUUUCUAGAACUUGCACUUUCUUGCCACCUUUUCCUGCACAUCUGCCAACCAGUCCUGAUACUAACAAGGCUGAGUCUUCAGGGAAAUGGAAUGGUCUACAUUCUCCUGUCAGUGUGCAGUCAAGACUUAACCUGAGUA
Molecule: small RNA, 777 nt
Filed under: Pongo abelii (Sumatran orangutan)
Lineage: Eukaryota; Metazoa; Chordata; Mammalia; Primates; Hominidae
Description: retained intron
Source: RNAcentral